UACGUAGGUGGCAAGCGUUGUCCGGAAUUAUUGGGCGUAAAGCGCGCGCAGGCGGUCCUUUAAGUCUGAUGUGAAAGCCCACGGCUCAACCGUGGAGGGUCAUUGGAAACUGGGGGACUUGAGUGCAGAAGAGGAGAGUGGAAUUCCACGUGUAGCGGUGAAAUGCGUAGAGAUGUGGAGGAACACCAGUGGCGAAGGCGGCUCACUGGCCCGAUACUGACGCUGAGGCACGAAAGCGUGGGGAGCAAACAGG
Molecule: ribosomal RNA, 253 nt
Filed under: uncultured bacterium
Lineage: Bacteria
Description: partial 16S ribosomal RNA
Rfam family: Bacterial small subunit ribosomal RNA
Source: RNAcentral